This is a non-coding RNA of Anas platyrhynchos (mallard), 966 nucleotides long. The record is from RefSeq and is a predicted model, not a curated record. Lineage: Eukaryota; Metazoa; Chordata; Aves; Anseriformes; Anatidae.
CCUGGCAGUUAGUGAUUAAUGUGGCAGUGCAUGGGUGUACUAAUACAUUGUUUGUACUGUGUUGGGAAAGACAUCCGGUCUGCCUCUGGGCACGUACUGAAGGGCAGCUGGCACAGUCAUCUCUGGUGGUUGGCAGAUGUGCAUUUGGGAGAGUAUAUCUGCUUUUGAGCAGCUGUUUGCAUAGUGCUUGAACGCUGUGCUUGAGGAGGUCUGUCAAAUCUUGAAAGCUUACAGAUACGGGGUUUUGAAACUUUUAUUUUUUAUUACUAUUCUGUCCCCAGUAGAGUGUAAACCCUAGGAGGAACCUGUCACAGGAAAGAGCUCCUUCUGGAACUGUUCAGCACUUGGGGUGUUGUAACUGGCCUAAGAGAGCAGAUGGAAGCAUCUUCCUUGAGGGUAGGUGAGGGGGCCGAGGUAAGGGAGCAGAUGAGAGUAAGUGUCCUAGCUGUGCUGUGGCUUUGGAUGCUGUUUCAGCCUAUGCUUUUCUUUUUCUUUUGCAGGUGUGUCGCACAGGCUGAGUGGGGCCAAGCUGCACUCUGAAGAGCAGCACGAGAAGGGCGGGCUGGUUGUGAGCUGGAGCUGGAUUGGAGCAGAACGGCCGAGUAGCACGAGGUGUCCCAAGCAACGUGGGCUGUGAUGUUAGUUCCUGAGAACUGGAACAAAGCAGGUGCUGAUGGUGGUCUUCUUCGGUAGGCAAAGAGGUGCCCAAAGCCCCGUCCUGUGUAGCCUGAGCACACCUCGCUGAGGAUGAAGCAUGCUUUCCAGCAGUUCCCAAAACUGUGUUGAAGCUGAAAUGCUGUGUCUGUGUUUGUGUUGGGGUUGCUCCUUGGGGAGUGUAGGGAUGGGUUUUAAGUGGGUGCAGAGGAGGGCCUGGCCCCAGUGUCCUGUAGUGUGUUUUAACCCAUCAGCAUGGCCUUUUGGUUCUCAGGUAGCUUACUGAAUAAAUGAUUUUUCCUGCAAGUGGAA